AGUGAACGCUGGCGGUAGGCCUAACACAUGCAAGUCGAACGGCAGCACAGUAAGAGCUUGCUCUUACGGGUGGCGAGUGGCGGACGGGUGAGGAAUACAUCGGAAUCUACUUUUUCGUGGGGGAUAACGUAGGGAAACUUACGCUAAUACCGCAUACGACCUACGGGUGAAAGCAGGGGAUCUUCGGACCUUGCGCGAUUGAAUGAGCCGAUGUCGGAUUAGCUAGUUGGCGGGGUAAAGGCCCACCAAGGCGACGAUCCGUAGCUGGUCUGAGAGGAUGAUCAGCCACACUGGAGCUAAGACACGGUCCAGACUCCUACGGGAGGCAGCAGUGGGGAAUAUUGGACAAUGGGCACAAGCCUGAUCCAGCCAUACCGCGUGGGUGAAGAAGGCCUUCGGGUUGUAAAGCCCUUUUGUUGGGAAAGAAAAGCAGCAGGUUAAUACCCCGCUGUUCUGACGGUACCCAAAGAAUAAGCACCGGCUAACUUCGU
This 491-nucleotide ribosomal RNA is filed under the name uncultured bacterium. RNAcentral describes it as "partial 16S ribosomal RNA". It matches the Rfam family "Bacterial small subunit ribosomal RNA", at positions 29 to 506 of the family's 1533-position model. The record is from RNAcentral.